GCCAGAUUAGCAAGACACGCGCACACACUCUACGUUUAAGUCACACCCUGCAAUGCAGAGAAAAUAUUUCAAUAGGCAUCUGCAGGCGGCCGAGAAGAACUGGAGCAAUGAUUAUUUUCCUCCUUUUUUGAUUUUCUGUUUCUAAAGAAAGCACUGGUAUCAAGGACGAGUUAGGUAAUGCGUAUUAAAAGGCAAGCAGGUCGCUCUCGUUUACGCCCAAUCAUAGUUCAUAGUUCAAGGAAAACUGCCUUUAAUUGACACCGUGUAUAUUCCUCUGCUCCUCUCAGGCUGCCCUGGCAGGGACGCCCCAAGAGUAUUUAUUUCUAGGGUUGGAAACAAAACAACCAACCCCGUCUACUGCGUAAGAGAGCGUUCCAAGAUGGACUGCCGGAGAAAGGCUUUUUGACCCCUGUGGAAAUUAGUCAUAUUGACAGACGCCCAGGGAAGGUAAAUUACCCCGCGCGCUGACGUUACGCAGAGGCGCACCGGGUUCCGACUCCACCGCGGCGCCGAGGGGGCCAGAGGCUCCCAGUUCUUCCCCGCAUAGUUCGACAAAGCCCUACUUUGCUUCCCUGGGUCUGGGAUCUCAACGUGAAGGGGGCCGAGAGAGCGGUGAUAAGGUGCUAGAAAGGAAACGGCAAGAGGAAACUAAAAAAGUGGAGAGAAAUUUUGUGCGCCGUAGUGCUUAGCAAGCUGGGGAAACGAGGAGAAAACGAGCAAAGUCUACAGGGGAGGGAGAGAGGGAGGAGGCAGGGAAGGAGAGGACCACGAGGCUCCCGGCGCCCAGGCCGCCACUUGGGAGGUCCCGGCCCCAAAGCAGGCCGGGCCAACCGUCCCCCCGGGAGGCUCGGGGCUCGGGCGGGGUCACAAUUACACCUCGGCUCCAGGCGAGGACUUAAAAACCAAGUGGUGGGGACUGCAGUCUGGAAGCAAGGCCCUGCGGUCAUCGGAGGGGGGCCAGGCCCGUGCACAGGAACCUUUUACAAGGCAUGUGGGUACAAGAAAAAAAAUCAAAAUAAACCACUUUCAUCCAGCAUGGGCAGUGAAAAGAAAAGCUGCCUUCCAGAGGGGGCGAGCGGGAGUUUUGAAAUUCAUUGUGUGUUUUGCCUUUAUAUAAGGAGUUUUGCGUUUUUUACCGAUAACCAAAGGGGGACACUAGGGGGAAGUAACUGCUAUUUUUUUUUUCUGGAGAGGGCUGAAAUAAGGGGUUCACCGGUUCUUUCACAAUCAGAUGGUGUCCCAGGACUGCAAGUAACUGCGUACAUCCACACAGCGCAUUACACCAACCUGAGAAGAAUCCUUGCGUGACCGGAUUGUUUCUGGUAUAAAAUAGGGCCUAACGGUCCCAUCUCUUUUCUUUUAAAAAACUGAGUCUGUGGAGGGGGCUUAUUGGAAAGCAUCAAAAGAGUGGCAUCUGAUUUUCUGAUUUUACCGGAGAUUGGACUGGAGGUCUUCUUUACUAAGAGUAACAGGCGUAGCCACAAAAGAGCCUGGUCUGGUCGCAAAGUAAAGGCAAAACUAGUGUGGGCCCUUAGCCUCGCCGGCCCCGGCCCUCGGAAUGCAAAAGGCGAAAGCUCCCUCCUGGGCAGGGCCAGAGCGAGAGCGAGUGAGGAGCUCCUCCCGGACCUCGGGCCUAGCUUCGGAGGUAUUUUUAGCUCCUCUCUCUGCUCCCCAGAGGCUCUUUUGUAAGCUUAACAGAGGCUCAGCAAGCUGCCCUCACCCCGAAGGGCUGUGGGAGGAGGCUGCCCUAGUAUCUUGAAGAAAAAAGAAAUUGCCUAUCCUUAAGUUUAAAACAAUAUUCGCUCUCUCUAGGCUCCCCUUCUGUUCUCUCGUUUUUUUCGCCCGCAGGAACACUCCAAGUUCCACAGUUAAAGAGGACCGGGAGGGCAGGAAUGGGUGGGGCCUGGAAAUCAGCUCCGAAACUGGGUGCGGCACACCUUCCUCUGCCUUUCUGCCUCUCUCCCGGCCACUGCUGCUCCACGGGAGCCAGUCUUGGAUACCUAGGGUGGGGGACAGGGGGACGGGAAGAGCCUCGGUUGUCUCCAGAACCUGCCGAGCCCCUGCUGCAUCUGGGACCCGCCUUCACCGUUUCCCAAUCCCAGCGGUUAGCCCCUGCGCCCCCUUUUUGGUCUCCACUUUGCCGUUCGAAAAUGCCUAGGUUGGUGGAUCGACCCUCCGCGGAGCAAAGACGGAUGGCUGGCAGGAGCAGGUUCAGGAGCUGGGCCAAGUUUCACACGAAGAGACUUGGAGUAUCUGGAGAAGGUUUUUGAAGACGUUUAGGAGGGAGGGUGAGUUUUCUGCUGAGAAACUCAAUCUGCCAUACAGUAGCGGCCCCAUCUGGGAUCUGUCACUGCUGACAGCACCAGAGGGCACAGCCGUGAUCUUCUGCACAGCCUGCACUCCCCGAAAUACCCUCCUUAAUCAAAGGAUGUCUGCGCGCCUGAGCUCAGCUGACCGCGCCGGGAGCACCAGGGCCGUUGGAUUCCACCCCAGCCCGCCCCCUCCCCACGCACACAGCCACGGCCCCUCGCGUCUUCGCGGCACGUUAAUUAAAUGCGGAAAACAGACAGAGGCUGAUGUCAUUGCUCUCACAAGAUCAUAAACGUAAAAGAGUCAUCCUGUGAGAAUCCCUGAAAAUGACUUUAAUGAAUAAUUUCAGAGACAGUUAUGACUUUGGGUGAUUACUGAGCAAGAAUAUGAAAACCAGAUUUGCAAAGCGAAGGCGAUGGUCAAAAGGCCUGGCAGUUACUUUCUCUCAUUAAAACCGCACCGGCUUUCCUUCUUCGCCAAGUACUAGUUACCAACUGAGGUUGCGUUUUCAGGUUUUCUUCUUCAAAAUAACAGUCUUCUUUUCCUGCUUUUCUGCCUUAUCCUAAAGACAAAAUGUCAGCUCCAGGGAACGACAUUAACAACCCACUUUAAAUUGAAGGCAACUCUGCACUGGCGUCAGUGGCCAUUGGCUUCCAUCUUUUUACAAAGGUUGGAUUUACUGCCAUCUUAGGAUCAUAUCUCUUUUGGCCUCUUCUCUAGGCAAUGUAUUUAAUGAAGGUUGAACAUUCUCACUGACCCUGAGUCAGUGCACUGUUUGUUGUAAAGGAUCUCAGCUGGUGGGGCAAAAAACAAGUUCCAAACAACCUGCCUUUACAGAAGAGUCUCCCUGACUCUUUAGUUCUAGGUCACCAAUGAACUGAAAAAUGAUUUGGUGCUACAUUAAGGAAUAUUUUCAAACACUCCAUCUGGCCAUGGAGAAGCAUCCAGUUGGUUAUAUCUGGUUGCUCAUGCAUUAAAAAUACUAUUUGAGAAAACAACUAGGGUGUUAGUUGUGGAAGUGGCCUGGUGAGUACCCUCUGAUCUUUUGCACGAAGUUUAGCUGCCUGCAAGUCUGUCUUCUUUGCUUGAAAAUAUAAACUGGGACUCUCUGGGCCUGUGUCCCAUGUGGAUUUAUUCCACUUAAUUCAAGUAAAAGUUUGUUUAUACUCUGAGCAAGAAAGUAUUAUAGGCACAAGUGAUGUGGAGUUUUCAGUUUGCUUGUUUUUUGCUGUUGUUUGUUUGCUUUUGAGCGAUCUGAGUGAUUUAGAAAACUAAUGUGUCUCAGUCGGCUCCACCAUUCAGACAGAUCAUAGAGAACCCACUUACCAGCACUCUAGAAAACUGUACUUUGUGCAGACAUUGCCUGAUCCUCCCCUUUCUAGAAGCACAGAUAGGCCAGAAUCCUUCAGUCACUGAGGACACAAUUGUCUAAAAGCCUCAUUCCCUAUCAUUAGCCCCCAAACCGCAGAGCUGUUUCCUUCCCUCUUGGCUCCAGAUAGGGGUGGGUGGGAGAGGGGACUAGGCUCUCCAUGUGACAUUUCCCUGACUUGAGAGGAAAUGUUUCUUUCUGAUUCUAGAUUACAUGAAGACACUUUGGAGUUGGUGUAUAGGGUUUCCUCAAAGAACUGAGGUAACGUGGACUUUAGGGAAUUUUCCUCAAUUGGAUUCCCUGUUUAUUUGUGAUACUAUUUGUGUCCCCCAAAUAGAUCUUCUUGUUGCUCCACUCACAUCAUGAGCAGUUUUCCUUUUCCUCUAGUUACAUUCACUCUAGCUUCUGACUGAAGACUCUGCUUGCCCUUUGUAGCCCGUGCAGGAAUAAACAGCAUCUUCUGGAUUUGCUUUGAAUCCUUGUGCUGCCCAAUGAGUCAGAGGUGUAGGGUUGAUCCAAUAAUAUGGCUAAUUCUCUCCCUGUAAAGACUUUAAAUAAUGUAGGCCUCUCUUCACCCAUCCCCCAUUCUCACCAUCCUGGACUUCACGCGGGUCAUGGAGAAGGUGUCCAGGGUGGGAGGCACGCUGGGUGGGUGUGGCCUCCUUUGGCACAGUGGUUCGGCAUCCUCUGGGGGAGAUUUUGAAAACUGCAGGCUCCGCGUCGAGCCCCUGACCUGCUGAAUCAGAAUUUCUGGUGAAGGUAGGGUGAAAACGGGGCUGAAUUUGUCAUUGUAUCAAGUUGUCCGGGGAGUGGAAAGUCCAGGUGUUGGAUUAAUCCCAGCACCCCUUACUUCAGAAGAGACCAGGCUAUCCCGCAGAACGCUAGGGUCAGAGGUCUGGGGCAUCAGUCAGCCCGUCCAGGAAUUAUGCAAAUAUAUGCAGCCUCUACUCUGAACACUGGGACGUAGUAGGGGACAAAGCUGCCGCCAGCCGUCCUCGUCCUUGCGAGGUGUCAGUGUUUGCGCCAGGGACAACUCCCUGGAGGGCUGGGGGAAGGGAGGGGCAAAAGAGGGUCCAGGGCCUCAGCUCGCUAUGUACUUUAGGGUUUAAUAACAGGUGCAAAGGCAGCUGCUAAAAGACAUCGCAUUCUGUAAUCAGCUUCUGCCAGGCUGUCCGGCUAAACAGAAACUCCCACAAUUUUGGCCCGAGGGCUGUAGGGCGGAGCGGGUGCCAGUGAGAUGAGGGCAACCCUAAGAGGUGGCAUAAGAGCCUUACCCCUAAGAGCCACCCCAACCCCAUCCGGGGCUUGCACCGGCACCGCCUGGGCCGCAGUUGUUGCCUCAGGGAAGCUUCGCCCUGGCGCAGGGAUAGAGCAAAGAAGCGACCGCAUGUGGAAGGCUUUCCAGGCGGAAUGCUCCAGCCGUAGCGAGUUGGAAAAUUUAGAGUGGGGAGGGGGCAGUAGAGAUGUUAACUGGCCCCUCCUCACCCCAAACAAGGAAAACACAGUCUUCUGGGCUAAAAAUACAUAUUUAUGAAGUCCCUAUACGCAGGCAGGCGGCGCGUUCCAGCUGCCGGCCUGGCCCAGGGAGGACUUGGCCGCGCGGCCGCCGAUUACACCCAACUCGGCUGGGAUGGCUCCGAGCCGUCUGCCCUGACGUCAGCGAGGCUCCGGCCCCGCCGCGGCAAGAUAGGCGAGCGCGGCCGGGCGCGGGUGCGGCACUAAUCACUCCCAGAUGUCCCUAAUAGCGGAGAUAAAGACGGACAGAGCGGCCGGGAAUAAAUUUGUAAUCAGGGCUCUACCAUCUGAUCAUCAAAGCGGCCCAAAUGCCGGGAGAAUUUGAAGGGAAUGCGUGUGAGGGGGGUCGCUUGGGGGAAGAGCGAUCCGCAGGCUCUGACAGGCCAGGAGUCGCGCGCGUCCGGGAGACUCCUUAGCGCCCCCUCCUCACGUGGAGAUCUGGACUCUCAGGAGCUGGGCCCAAUGGAAGGAAUGGGUACCCUUGGGUCACCAGGGUCCAGAUUCGGCCCUCUACGGCGCCCAUGCCACAAGCCUCCCUCAAGACCAUCUCUGCUUGGCACCCACUAGCCAGCUCCUUUUCCAAAUCUAGGAGCCUGGGUGGGACUCACAGGCAGGGAGAACUCAAGGCGGCUGUGGAAAACAAAAUCGCGUGCCGCCCGCGCAAUAUUUGAUUAAAGCUUCAGGGCUAACUGAGCGGUUUCUUGCGCUUUGCAGGCCCGCAGUGUAUGUUCAGUCCCAGUUUUCCUGGCACCCUUUGCCCUGCUUAUGUCCCCUGCACACACCUCAGGCCCUUGCAACUGGCCCGGGUUCUCUCUGCAAAUCUGUAGUCUGGGAAGGAACUCCCGGGUCUCGUACUCCCUGCCGCUUUGCAUUUGAGCUCUCACCUUCCUCACCCCUUCCUGCGAAUUCCAGGUGCGCUUACCUCUCUUGUUCUCCUGCUACUUCACCAAUCCGAGCGGGAGACUAGCUCUGCAAUUCACGCCAAGCUGGGGCAGCGGCUAGCAGAGUCUGGUCGAAGGAAUUGAACCACCUUCCACUCCCGACACACGCACAAGUGCUAAGAGGCCCCCAGGCUGCGCUCCCUGGCACGGCUGCUACGCUCACCUCAUCACGACCAAGCAGCCUGGUGCUCCUACACCUAAGGAGGCAACCCAGACCCAGAGGUCCACCCUUCCUAGAUGCCUGGGCCUGCUGGCUAACCCAUCCCGAAAGCUGGAGCUUGCUGUCUCGGCCUGGAAAAGCCCUUUAAGUUGCUGUCAGUGCCCAGGCAAUUGGGAGCGGGGCCCCCACUCUGCAGUUUUUCAAAUUGCUUCCCAAGCUGAGAAGGGGUUUGCGCGCGCGCACACACACACACACACACACACACACACACCGUCUACAACUGGCCAAGCCUUUGCCCCUCCGGUGCUCCAGGGUUAUCAGACGCUGGGCCUGCACAGCGGUCUGGGGCAGAGCCCUGACAGCCAGAUCUACCAUCAAUUUACCUUCCGCCGCCGCAGCUUCCCAUUUAGCUUUUAACGUCAAAUCCUACAUUUUUGUCGGCUCCGGCCUGUCUAGAACGCUUGUGAUUUCCCUGCAGGAGUGAUUGCUCUUAACAAAAUGGCAGCAACCACAUUAUCCGAGCAAUUAAAACAGAGGCCUUUUAGCCGGUCCCGCAAGUAGAGGCUUGGAAAAUUUUUUUAAACAAAGAAGAAAAAGUUAAAAGAGAAAUAAGUGUUGGAAGAGAAAAGCAUGGAAGCUCAGAAGAAACGUCUGCCCAGUACGCCUUUCACUUCCUGGGACUUGACAACCUGGGGCGGGGAUGUUGGGUGGCUGAGAGCGGCUGGGGUGACAGAUAAUCUGGGGUGUCCUGCAGGUUGAAGCAUCUGGUCAGUUGGGGUGUGCGUCUGGUUAGGGGGUUCAGCCGCCUGCAGUGUCAGGCAGCUGGGCAUUCUGCCGUCUGGGGUGUCCGGUCUGCUGGGUGUCUGGCUGGUUAGGGUUUCUGGCGAGUUGAAAUGGCAGGGCGGGUGGGGUGACCAGGCCUAGUGUUGCUGGCCCUGAGGAAGAGGAGGCAGGCUGUGCUUGGCCGGGGCCAAAGAGGAGCGCAGGUUUAAAAAGCAAGUGUAUUAGCAAGUUUCUCCGUAGCAAUGGUGCGCCAGGGUCUUUUGGUUUCCCUCUGUUGUUGUUUAAUAAGCCAGAGAAAGUGUUAAAUCUGCAGAAGUGCCUUAAGGCCCAGAUGGCGGAGACCAGCUACACAAGGUGCAGAGAAGCGUAGGUGCAUGGUGAAGAUAACUCCUCUCCGUUUCCUGUUUUUAAAACCUCACCUCCUCCGCCACUGUUUACUCCAACACUUUGGUAGGCUCCUUUCUUCCACGUCUAGGACCUGAUGGCUUUCUCCUGAGCAGAUUAAAAUAAAGACGCGGAAGACAACUGGAAUCAGGAGAGGGAGGGAACCACUGGAUCAAACGCAGGAGGAUUGGGAGAGCAACAGAAAAUCAGGGCGCGCCUCCCCCACACCUCCUCCCCAUGCUAUAAACAAAGGCAAGUGUCUGUAAACACAGCCCCGCGCCCACCAGGUCGGCCCAGCGCCGGCUGACCCAAGGGGAGAAAGUUCAGAUCGCUUUGGCCGAGUUGUUCUAACCCCUCGCCCUCGCGUUGUCAGCCGCCCGCAGAAGUCCGCAGAGCCUCUAGCUUGUCUCUCCCUGGGCACUUCUGAAUUCGCCCACGCCGGGUCUGAUUCGGCCUGCUGCAGGCAGAGGGGUCAUAGUGGACACCAGCUAGGCGUGGGAACCCUUGGGACAUCGCGGGAGGGUCUGUGCCCGAGGCCAAGUUGCGAACAUCACCCUGAGGAUGGGUUCCAGGAUGGAAACCCUCUGGCAAGCCUCUCCAACACCAGAUUUAUAUACGCGGCGUUCCAUGAAACAAACCACUUUUUAAUACGGUUCA
This 8119-nucleotide long non-coding RNA is filed under the name Homo sapiens (human). RNAcentral's name for it is "HSALNT0080912". Lineage: Eukaryota; Metazoa; Chordata; Mammalia; Primates; Hominidae. The record is from RNAcentral.